CGGUGAAAUGCGUAGAUAUUAGGAGGAACACCAGUGGCGAAGGCGACUUACUGGACAGUUACUGACGCUGAGGCGCGAAAGCGUGGGGAGCAAACAGGAUUAGAUACCCUGGUAGUCCACGCCGCAAACGAUGAAUGCUGGGUGUUGGGGAGACUCAGUGCCGCAGUUAACACAAUAAGCAUUCCGCCUGGGGAGUACGGUCGCAAGACUGAAACUCAAAGGAAUUGACGGGGGCCCGCACAAGCAGCGGAGCAUGUGGUUUAAUUCG
RNAcentral lists this ribosomal RNA (268 nucleotides) under Alkalibacter saccharofermentans. RNAcentral describes it as "partial 16S ribosomal RNA". It matches the Rfam family "Bacterial small subunit ribosomal RNA", at positions 679 to 953 of the family's 1533-position model. RNAcentral also lists the same sequence under 1 other name. The record is from RNAcentral. Lineage: Bacteria; Bacillati; Bacillota; Clostridia; Eubacteriales; Eubacteriaceae.